RNAcentral lists this ribosomal RNA (2190 nucleotides) under Heterophryidae sp. 3 VVZ-2016. RNAcentral describes it as "partial 18S ribosomal RNA". It matches the Rfam family "Eukaryotic small subunit ribosomal RNA", at positions 24 to 1625 of the family's 1831-position model. Lineage: Eukaryota; Centroplasthelida; Pterocystida; Heterophryidae. The record is from RNAcentral.
UCAUAUGCUUGUCUCAAAGAUUAAGCCAUGCAUGUCUAAGAAUAAGUCCAUGAAUGACAAAUCUGCGAAUGGCUCAUUAAAUCAGUUAUUGUUUAUUUGAUGUGUGUAAAAAUGUAUUUUUACACUUUUACUGCUGGAUAACCGUAGUAAUUCUAGAGCUAAUACAUGUGAAAAAAAGCCAUUGAUUUCAUUUUCAGUGGCUGCAUUUAUUAGAUUCAAAACCAAAUCGCCUUUGUUAGUUCACUCUAAUAAAGAAAAACCGAAUGGUGAUUCAUAAUAACUAAGCUAAUCGAAAUUUAAAUAAGAAAGUGAUUUGUAAUACUUGUAUUGCUUUUCAUUUUCUUUUUCGAUGCUUCAUUCAAAUUUCUGCCCUAUCAGCUUUCGAUGGUAGGAUAUUGGCCUACCAUGGCUAUAACGGGUAACGGGGAAUCAGGGUUCGAUUCCGGAGAGGGAGCUUGAGAAAUAGCUACCACAUCCAAGGAUGGCAGCAGGCGCGCAAAUUACCCAAUCCCAAUACGGGGAGGUAGUGACAAUAAAUAACAAUGUUGGAAUGUUUUAAAAAUUCUAACAAUUGGAAUGAGAGUAAUUUAGACCUCUUCUCGAGGAUCCAUUGGAGGGCAAGUCUGGUGCCAGCAGCCGCGGUAAUUCCAGCUCCAAUAGCGUAUGUUAAAGUUGUUGCAGUUAAAAAGCUCGUAGUCUAAAUUGCAAAGUCUUUAUGGAAAUGGUGUUUUUCUUUCCCAAAAGUUUUUUUGAUGAAAAUAUUUCUUAUAUUUUCAUCAAAUCCUAAACAUUUGAGUUUCAAAAGUUAGACAUCCCAACUUUGCUUGUACUUUGGAGAACAAAUAUUAAGAAACUUGUUUUUUAAUAUUUGGAUUCCAAUUGUUUACUUUGAGAAAACUAGAGUGUUCAAAGCAGGCGAAAUUAAAAUUUCUCUCGCAACUGAAUACAUUAGCAUGGGAUAAUAAAAUAGGACAUUAUGGAAAGAAUAUUUUCAUUUUAAUUUGAGUUUACUCAUUUUAACUUGAGAUUUCUUUUUUUGGUCCUAUUAUGUUUUUGAUUGGUGGUCCAAGGACCAAUGUAAUGAUUAAUAGGAACGGUUGGGGACAUUCAUAUUGCGUGGCUAGAGGUGAAAUUCUUGGAUUCACGCAAGAUGAACUGCUGCGAAAGCGUUUGUCAAAGACGUUUUCAUUGAUCAAGAACGAAAGUUAGGGGAGCAAAGACGAUCAGAUACCGUCGUAGUCCUAACUAUAGACGAUGCCGACUAGGGAUCGGUGGGCGUUAAUAUAAAAUUGAAUUACGCUUUGAAAAUAAAUUAUUUCUAACUUUCGGGUUACGUAAUGUUUAUUUUCAAUUGUUUUUCAAGAAAUGACCCCAUCGGCACCUCAAUUUGAUACUUCUCAAUGGGAAACCAAAGUUUUUGGGUUCCGGGGGGAGUAUGGUCGCAAGGCUGAAACUUAAAGGAAUUGACGGAAGGGCACCACCAGGAGUGGAGUUUGCGGCUUAAUUUGACUCAACACGGGAAAACUCACCAGGCCCAGACAUGGUAAGGAUUGACAGAUUGAGAGCUCUUUCCUGAUUCCAUGAAAGGUGGCGCAUGGCCGUUCUUAGUUGGUGGAGUGAUUUGUCUGGUUAAUUCCGUUAACGAACGAGACCUUGGCCUGCUAACUAGGGGGGGUUAUCGUUUGGAUGAGAUUUGAUAGAGUUAACUUUAAAUUGUCCUUUCGGGUAAUUUAAUUUUGACUGUUGUCUGCUUAUUCAUAUUUUGCGAUAGCACCUAAGAUUUCAAAAAUCUUUCAACUCUUUCUUCUGGGUUUAGGAUAAGGGAAUUUAAGGGAUUGAGGAUUUCGGUUCUCUUUUUCUUAUUUUCAUCAAACCUUGUCUUAUUCUUGUGAAAGAGAAAAUCCUUCUUAGAGGGACUAUCUGCGUUUUUUUAACUAGCAGAUGGAAGCUCGAGGCAAUAACAGGUCUGUGAUGCCCUUAGAUGUCCUGGGCUGCACGCGUACUACACUGACGAAUUCAACAAGCGAUUUAAAUUUGGUUUGAAGGGGAUGAGAGUUCACUUGUGGAUUUUCAUUUUCUUUUUAUCAAAAACCUUGGCAGAAAUGUUUGGGUAAUCUCUUUAAAGUUCGUCGUGCUAGGGAUAGAUGAUUGUAAUUAUUCGUCUUCAACGAGGAAAUCCUAGUAAGUGUA